UCCGGUUUAACACCGGCAGUCUCUCUAGAGUCCCCAACUGAAUGAUGGUAACUAAAGACAAGGGUUGCGCUCGUUAUUGGACUUAACCAGACAUCUUACGACACGAGCUGACGACAGCCAUGCAGCACCUAUCACCGAGUCACCGAAGUGACGUUUACAUCUCUGCAAACUUCCCGGGAUGUUAAGGGUAGGUAAGGUUCUGCGCGUUGCUUCGAAUUAAACCACAUACUCCACCGCUUGUGCGGGCCCCCGUCAAUUCCUUUGAGUUUUAGCCUUGCGACCGUACUCCCCAGGCGGGAUACUUAAUGCGUUAGCUUUGGUACUCAGGAGGUUAAUGUCCCAAACACCUAGUAUCCAUAGUUUACGGCGUGGACUAC
This 377-nucleotide unclassified non-coding RNA is filed under the name uncultured Oligoflexaceae bacterium. Its description in RNAcentral is "contains 16S-23S intergenic spacer region". Lineage: Bacteria; Pseudomonadati; Bdellovibrionota; Oligoflexia; Oligoflexales; Oligoflexaceae. The record is from RNAcentral.